GGUUAAGUUAGAAAGGGCGCACGGUGAAUGCCUUGGCACUAGGAGCCGAUGAAGGACGGGACUAACACCGAUAUGCUUCGGGGAGCUGUAAGUGAGCUUUGAUCCGGAGAUUUCCGAAUGGGGAAACCCACUGUUCGUAAUGGAACAGUAUCUUUAUCUGAAUACAUAGGAUAUUGAAGGCAGACCCGGGGAACUGAAACAUCUAAGUACCCGGAGGAAGAGAAAGCAAAUGCGAUUUCCUGAGUAGCGGCGAGCGAAACGGAAUUAGCCCAAACCAAGAGGCUUGCCUCUUGGGGUUGUAGGACACUCUAUACGGAGUUACAAAGGAACGAAGUAAAUGAAGCGACCUGGAAAGGUCCGUCGAAGAAGGUAACAACCCUGUAGUUGAAACUUCGUUCCCUCUUGAGUGGAUCCUGAGUACGGCGGAACACGUGAAAUUCCGUCGGAAGCUGGGAGGACCAUCUCCCAAGGCUAAAUACUACCUAGUGACCGAUAGUGAACCAGUACCGUGAGGGAAAGGUGAAAAGCACCCCGGAAGGGGAGUGAAAGAGAUCCUGAAACCGUGUGCCUACAAGUAGUCAGAGCCCGUUAACGGGUGAUGGCGUGCCUUUUGUAGAAUGAACCGGCGAGUUACGAUCCCAUGCAAGGUUAAGCUGAUAAGGCGGAGCCGUAGCGAAAGCGAGUCUGAAUAGGGCGUUUAGUAUGUGGUCGUAGACCCGAAACCAGGUGAUCUACCCAUGUCCAGGGUGAAGUUCAGGUAACACUGAAUGGAGGCCCGAACCCACGCACGUUGAAAAGUGCGGGGAUGAGGUGUGGGUAGCGGAGAAAUUCCAAUCGAACCUGGAGAUAGCUGGUUCUCUCCGAAAUAGCUUUAGGGCUAGCCUCAUGUUGUGAGAGUCUUGGAGGUAGAGCACUGAUUGGACUAGGGGCCCCCAACGGGUUACCGAAUUCAGUCAAACUCCGAAUGCCAAAGACUUAUCCAUGGGAGUCAGACUGCGAGUGAUAAGAUCCGUAGUCAAAAGGGAAACAGCCCAGACCACCAGCUAAGGUCCCCAAGUAUACGUUAAGUGGAAAAGGAUGUGGAGUUGCUUAGACAACCAGGAUGUUGGCUUAGAAGCAGCCACCAUUUAAAGAGUGCGUAAUAGCUCACUGGUCGAGUGACUCUGCGCCGAAAAUGUACCGGGGCUAAACGUAUCACCGAAGCUGUGGAUUGACAUCUUUGAUGUCAGUGGUAGGAGAGCGUUCUAAGUGCUGUGAAGUCAGACCGUAAGGACUGGUGGAGCGCUUAGAAGUGAGAAUGCCGGUAUGAGUAGCGAAAGACAAGUGAGAAUCUUGUCCACCGAAUGCCUAAGGUUUCCUGAGGAAGGCUCGUCCGCUCAGGGUUAGUCGGGACCUAAGCCGAGGCUGAAAAGCGUAGGCGAUGGCCAACAGGUUGAUAUUCCUGUACCACCUCCCCGCCGUUUGAGUAAUGGGGGGACGCAGUAGGAUAGGGUAAGCGCGCUGCUGGAUAUGCGCGUUCAAGCAGUUAGGCUGAUGAGUAGGCAAAUCCGCUCAUCAUAAAGGCUGAGCUGUGAUGACGAGGGAAUUAUAGUACCGAAGUUCCUGAUUCCACACUGCCAAGAAAAGCCUCUAGCGAGGCGGGAGGUGCCCGUACCGCAAACCGACACAGGUAGGCGAGGAGAGAAUCCUAAGGUGAUCGAGAGAACUCUCGUUAAGGAACUCGGCAAAAUGACCCCGUAACUUCGGGAGAAGGGGUGCUCUGGUAGGGUGUAUAGCCCGAGAGAGCCGCAGUGAAUAGGCCCAGGCGACUGUUUAGCAAAAACACAGGUCUCUGCGAAGCCGCAAGGCGAAGUAUAGGGGCUGACGCCUGCCCGGUGCUGGAAGGUUAAGAGGAGGGGUUAUCCUUUGGGAGAAGCUCUGAAUCGAAGCCCCAGUAAACGGCGGCCGUAACUAUAACGGUCCUAAGGUAGCGAAAUUCCUUGUCGGGUAAGUUCCGACCCGCACGAAAGGCGUAACGAUCUGGGCACUGUCUCAACGAGAGACUCGGUGAAAUUAUAGUACCUGUGAAGAUGCAGGUUACCCGCGACAGGACGGAAAGACCCCGUGGAGCUUUACUGUAGCCUGAUAUUGAAUUUUGGUACAGCUUGUACAGGAUAGGUAGGAGCCUGAGAAGCCGGAGCGCUAGCUUCGGUGGAGGCGUCGGUGGGAUACUACCCUGGCUGUAUUGAAAUUCUAACCCGCGGCCCUGAUCGGGCCGGGAGACAGUGUCAGGUGGGCAGUUUGACUGGGGCGGUCGCCUCCUAAAAUGUAACGGAGGCGCCCAAAGGUUCCCUCAGAAUGGUUGGAAAUCAUUCGUAGAGUGUAAAGGCACAAGGGAGCUUGACUGCGAGACCUACAAGUCGAGCAGGGACGAAAGUCGGGCUUAGUGAUCCGGUGGUUCCGCAUGGAAGGGCCAUCGCUCAACGGAUAAAAGCUACCCCGGGGAUAACAGGCUUAUCUCCCCCAAGAGUCCACAUCGACGGGGAGGUUUGGCACCUCGAUGUCGGCUCAUCGCAUCCUGGGGCUGUAGUCGGUCCCAAGGGUUGGGCUGUUCGCCCAUUAAAGCGGUACGCGAGCUGGGUUCAGAACGUCGUGAGACAGUUCGGUCCCUAUCCGUCGUGGGCGUAGGAAAUUUGAGAGGAGCUGUCCUUAGUACGAGAGGACCGGGAUGGACACACCGCUGGUGUACCAGUUGUCUUGCCAAAGGCAUCGCUGGGUAGCUAUGUGUGGACGGGAUAAGUGCUGAAAGCAUCUAAGCAUGAAGCCCCCCUCAAGAUGAGAUUUCCCAUAGCGCAAGCUAGUAAGAUCCCUGAAAGAUGAUCAGGUUGAUAGGUCAGAGGUGGAAGCGUGGCGACAUGUGUAGCUGACUGAUACUAAUCGAUCGAGGACUUAACCAA
Molecule: ribosomal RNA, 2936 nt
Filed under: Priestia megaterium
Lineage: Bacteria; Bacillati; Bacillota; Bacilli; Caryophanales; Bacillaceae
Description: 23S ribosomal RNA
Rfam family: Bacterial large subunit ribosomal RNA
Source: RNAcentral